This is a non-coding RNA of 262 nucleotides. It matches the Rfam family "Bacterial large signal recognition particle RNA". Rfam says of the family: The signal recognition particle (SRP) is a universally conserved ribonucleoprotein involved in the co-translational targeting of proteins to membranes. The record is from Rfam.
CCGUGCAGCCGGGGAGAUAGCGGUGCCCUGUACCUGCAAUCCGCUACAGCAGGGGUGAUGUCUUGCCUAGGAUAACUUAUUGCAUAGCUGCCCUCUAUAAGUGAUGUUGACGUUUGGGUCUUACGCAAUGAAAAUUUGUGAAUCGUGUCAGGGCAGGAAUGCAGCAGCACUAAGCAAAACCUUUCGUGUGCCGUGAGGGAGCCUGAACCGAGUUAACUGUAGAGGUAACGUUUGUGGUAAUUAUUCGAAGCAAGGCGCACGG